Molecule: long non-coding RNA, 452 nt
Filed under: Brassica napus (rape)
Lineage: Eukaryota; Viridiplantae; Streptophyta; Magnoliopsida; Brassicales; Brassicaceae
Description: long non-coding RNA (BNAP_LNC017503)
Source: RNAcentral
AGGAGGUUGUUGGUAAAGGAUUAGACCGUAGUACUAUAGUGUUAAAAUGUUAGUUUAUGAUUGUCUUUAAAGGGGAUGCCAAAUUCUGGUUCGGGCUUUACGGGAAGCGUAGUUGGCUGAGGGCCAAAGGGCGUUCGUCAAGAUUGAUAGGCGAAGUCAGAGUUUUCUGUGUUAAGGUGGCCAAUGGUGUUAGAAAAUGAUUUUCCACCUUAGGUAUCAGUUAUACAACGAAUGUUUCGUACAAUGUUCCUUUAGUCGUACGAAAAUUGUUUUGUUUCUGUCUGAGGAAGACGAAGCCUAAGAGGCUCGAUAAAGAACCCAUGCAGGGCAUGGAUAAAGAAUGAGACCUGUUAUGUUUACUUUCAAUGUUGCUUUCUAUGACUUGAUCUGAUUGUACAAAGGAUUUUUCGCGUAAGUAACGGGCGACCGGUUUUAUGAAGGUAGUAAAUCGG